RNAcentral lists this ribosomal RNA (329 nucleotides) under uncultured eukaryote. RNAcentral describes it as "partial 18S ribosomal RNA". It matches the Rfam family "Eukaryotic small subunit ribosomal RNA", at positions 1470 to 1796 of the family's 1831-position model. The record is from RNAcentral.
CCCUUAGAUGUUCUGGGCCGCACGCGCGCUACACUGACGAAUGCAACGAGCUUAUAACCUUGGCCGAAAGGUCUGGGUAAUCUCCAAAUUUCGUCGUGAUGGGGAUAGAUUAUUGCAAUUAUUAAUCUUCAACGAGGAGUGCCUAGUAAGCGCAAGUCAUAAGCUUGCGCUGACUACGUCCCUGCCCUUUGUACACACCGCCCGUCGCUACUACCGAUUGAAUGAUUUAGUGAGGACUUCGGACUGGGACCGAUGCGGCUUUCGGGCUGCGUCGGUAUUCUGGAAAGAUGUCCAAACUGUAUCAUUUAGAGGAAGUAAAANUCGUANCA